Molecule: ribosomal RNA, 497 nt
Filed under: uncultured bacterium
Lineage: Bacteria
Description: partial 16S ribosomal RNA
Rfam family: Bacterial small subunit ribosomal RNA
Source: RNAcentral
GAUGAACGCUGGCGGCGUGCCUAAUACAUGCAAGUCGAGCGAACAGAUGAGGAGCUUGCUCCUCUGACGUUAGCGGCGGACGGGUGAGUAACACGUGGAUAACCUACCUAUAAGACUGGGAUAACUUCGGGAAACCGGAGCUAAUACCGGAUAAUAUAUUGAACCGCAUGGUUCAAUAGUGAAAGACGGUUUUGCUGUCACUUAUAGAUGGAUCCGCGCCGCAUUAGCUAGUUGGUAAGGUAACGGCUUACCAAGGCAACGAUGCGUAGCCGACCUGAGAGGGUGAUCGGCCACCCUGGAACUGAGACACGGUCCAGACUCCUACGGGAGGCAGCAGUAGGGAAUCUUCCGCCAUGGGCGAAAGCCUGACGGAGCAACGCCGCGUGAGUGAUGAAGGUCUUCGGAUCGUAAAACUCUGUUAUUAGGGAAGAACAAAUGUGUAAGUAACUAUGCACGUCUUGACGGUACCUAAUCAGAAAGCCACGGCUAACUACGUG